Gavialis gangeticus (Gharial) is the source of this 1155-nucleotide long non-coding RNA. RefSeq lists it as uncharacterized. NCBI's taxonomy places the organism in Eukaryota, Metazoa, Chordata, Crocodylia, Gavialidae. The record is from RefSeq and is a predicted model, not a curated record. The transcript has 2 exons.
AUUGCCCAGCUCUGAAGUUCAGAAGUACCUCACUGAACUCAUUGGGGCAAGGGGACUUUCUACUGAAAUAAUCUUUUGUCCUAUGGACAGAAAGCAUGACAAAGGGAAAUAAGGUGCCAACAGGAAUUUGCAAACCAGGAAUGGCUCUUAAGGAACAUGUAUUCUUAUACACAACCUCAUCCUUACAUCUUCCACAUACAGACCCACCAUCUCUCGCACACACGUUAGCAUCAAAAAGCUAUCCGACAAACUAAUACACACACGAUUAUUUUUGUUUCAAAAUGUAUCUUCAUCUCUAAUUUCUGUGGAAAAAAAGAAUUAGAUAGUGAUACCCACACAUUAGCAACUGAAAAACCGUUGUUCCUUUUCCUAGAUUUAGGAAUGUAUGCCACAUGUACAUUGCACCUUUGGUGCAUGAACACGCAGCCGUGUAUAUCGAUGGAUGCAUACAUCUGCAAUUUUGCAUGGUUGCAUAUAGACAUACAUUAUUAUUUGGGUAUAUAAUGUAUUAAUAUAUCAUUUAUAUAAUGCAUGCUGAUUAAUAAACAUCUCUCUGAGAUGCUUUUCAGCUAAUGAGUCACAAUAAGAAUUUUAAUGUUUGUAACUUCCUUUCUCCCAAGGAUCAGAAAGCACUUUACAAGUAUGAGAUAACUGACCUGCAUAAUGCCCUUGUGAAACAACUUGUUAAUGGAGUAAUUGAAGCAGCAGUAAAGUGAGGAGCCCGAAGUCAUGUGGUGAUUCUGCAGUAGAGAUGGGGACAGAAUCAGCAAGUUCUGAAUACAGGUGACUUGCAAGAGGCAUUUGAAGGAUUACAUCUCUCACUACAAAAACAAGCAUUGUAAUGGAAAACCAAGAUGUGCGCUGGAACUUCAGGGUUUCAUAUGUAGAGCAUUACAAGCAUUAAAUUAAAAGGAAAAAUGACAAGCUGACGAAAGGGCUGACAUGUUAUUUUAUGAAGCACUUUGGAGCCAGCUUCUGAAGCAGCUUUAUGUACAAACCUCUUCAUGAUUUAGAGUGGAAGUGGCUACAGCAUCUGAUUCUUGCUGGGGAAAACAGACCACCCAAUCAAGCUGGCUGUCUUGGGGGUUUGCUGCUUGCUGGGUAAAGUAGCUGCAGAAGGGACCCAGGAAUACACUCAAUAAAACCUUGCCUUUG